GAGGGAAAUGUGCCACCAUGAAAGAAAAGAAAGAAAAAUGAAAGGGAGAGAAGAAGACACACUUAUCAACAAUUUAAAAUCCACACAUUAUAGUAAAAAAAGGCCAACGGAACGCUUCGUGUAUUACGUAAAAGAAAUUAAUGUUGGUUGAUAAGAAAAAUUACAUCUAUAUAUUUCUUAGAUAUGACAACCUAAUAAAAACAAAAUUUCUGACAACAAUCAAAAUAGCAAAUCAAAAACAUAAUUAAUCCACUAAGUGUAUCUCAAGUUUCAAUCUUUAGUUCUAUUUUGAGACUAAUAUUAAUCCAUGGUUAUACACUUAAAACAUUUUAUUUUUUCUUAAAAAUAUAAUUUAUAGGUUUCAAAACUCAAACGAUCUUCUACAAACUCGGUGUAUAACCAAAUAUGCAUUACAAAUGAAAAUUAAAGUGAUGUAUUUUUUCUCUUU
This 448-nucleotide long non-coding RNA is filed under the name Vigna radiata. Its description in RNAcentral is "long non-coding RNA (VRAD_LNC012975)". Lineage: Eukaryota; Viridiplantae; Streptophyta; Magnoliopsida; Fabales; Fabaceae. The record is from RNAcentral.